GUUUUUAAUAGUGGCUGGCUUGCAGAGUUAUAGUGAGAAGGGUUUGACUUGGAAGUGCAACAUGGGUGGGAAUUCAGCUUCCCAAUGAAGAAAACAGUUGUGUGACUGGGCCUUUCUGACCAUCUGAAAAUGUAUAUAAUUUUAAACCAUUUGAGCUAUUUUUACUGGGAGCUCCCCCAUGGUUGCUUAAUUAAAGAAAAUGACGAGUUAAUCCUGAGAGGAAAUGCACCUUGGAUAUGUGAUCUUCUAAUUUGUACCCAGGGAUGAGGACUGGAACCACACUGGAGCACAACAAGGGUCCUGCAGCUCUGGCUUAUCUCUGCUGUGGAAGAGAGGGGAAUUUCCUUGGCAAGUCUCUGAGCUCUUUGUGGUCUGGAGAACCACGAGUGCACAUCCCAAGCCACGUCCAGGUUGUACAUCCCGGUUUCUGUGGUGCGAGGUACCUGCUCUGAGCAGGAGGGGGCUGAGCAAAGGUGUGGAGCCAGGUCCCACAGCAGCCCAGAGUACUUGUGAAAAGGCAUUUCUUAGCAACAGGAUACUGAACUUUCUGCUCUGGCCCAGGAGAAUCCUUAUGUAUCAGCAGCUUGAAAAGGGACACAGGAAAAAGUCUUGGCAAGGAACCAGACACCUCCAAGAUGGAAAUUCUGUUCUACAGCCAGCCCUCAAGGUAGUGGUUUAAAUGAAAAAUGACAUUUUGGAAUGGGGUGAAAUUUUAAAAUCCCAGCAAAAAGAAGAUUCUGAGUUCUUAAAAUUGUAUUUUGCCCUGCAAAAGCUGCUGAUACUGCUGCAAACCCAGAGGUAAGUAGUUGAUGGUUCCUUUUUAUUUUUUUUAUAUAUGUUUUUUCAAAGAAGAG
Long non-coding RNA from Cyanistes caeruleus (blue tit), 854 nucleotides. The record is from Ensembl. Lineage: Eukaryota; Metazoa; Chordata; Aves; Passeriformes; Paridae.